CACGUUGUUCAGGCGUGGCUGACACAUCUCUCAGGUGAGCUGGAAACGUGACACAGGCGUGCCUGACACGUCACGCAGGUGUGGUUCACACAUGGUUCAUGCAUGGCCUUCGUGUGGUUCAGGGGUGGCUGACAUGUGACUCAGGCAUGUGUGAAACAUGCCUCCGGUGUGGCUGACACAUGUCUCAGGCAUGGCUGACAUGUGACUCAGGCAUUCAUCUCACAAUAUCCAUGUGUGGCAUACACUUGCUUCACACAUGGGUGACAUGUCGUUCUCUUGUGGCUCCCACGGGACUCACACUUUGCUGACACAUGGCUCCCACAUACUCAGCCGUGUCUGGCAU
RNAcentral lists this long non-coding RNA (343 nucleotides) under Equus caballus (horse). Its description in RNAcentral is "lncRNA (ENSECAG00000058719.1)". Lineage: Eukaryota; Metazoa; Chordata; Mammalia; Perissodactyla; Equidae. The record is from RNAcentral.